RNAcentral lists this ribosomal RNA (253 nucleotides) under uncultured bacterium. RNAcentral describes it as "partial 16S ribosomal RNA". It matches the Rfam family "Bacterial small subunit ribosomal RNA", at positions 524 to 776 of the family's 1533-position model. The record is from RNAcentral.
UACGGAGGAUCCAAGCGUUAUCCGGAUUUAUUGGGUUUAAAGGGUGCGUAGGCGGUUUUAUAAGUUAGAGGUGAAAAUUCGGGGCUCAACUCCGGACGUGCCUCUAAUACUGUAUGACUAGAGAAUAGAUGCGGUAGGCGGAAUGUAUGGUGUAGCGGUGAAAUGCGUAGAGAUCAUACAGAACACCGAUUGCGAAGGCAGCUUACCAAACUAUAUCUGACGUUGAGGCACGAAAGCGUGGGUAGCAAACAGG